RNAcentral lists this ribosomal RNA (484 nucleotides) under uncultured bacterium. Its description in RNAcentral is "partial 16S ribosomal RNA". It matches the Rfam family "Bacterial small subunit ribosomal RNA", at positions 28 to 507 of the family's 1533-position model. The record is from RNAcentral.
AUUGAACGCUGGCGGCAUGCUUUACACAUGCAAGUCGAACGGCAGCGCGGGCUUCGUCCUGGCGGCGAGUGGCGAACGGGUGAGUAAUACAUCCGAAAGUGCCCAGCAGUGGGGGCUAGCUUGGCGAAAGCCGGCUUCAUACCGCAUACGACCUGACGGGGAAAGCCGGGGACCUUCCGACCUCGGGCCUUUGGAGCGGCCGAUGCCGGCUUAGCUAGUUGGUGGGGGUAAGGCCUACCAAGGCGACGAACGGUAGCUGGAGGGAGAGGACGACCAGCCGCACGAGGACGGGGACACGGACCAGGCGCCUACGGGAGGCAGCAGUGGGGAAUGGUGGACAAUGGGCGAGAGCCUGAUACAGCAAUGGCGCGUGUGUGAUGAAGGCGUUCGGGUUGUAAAGAACGCCUGGGGGGAGUGAAAAGGACUGUGCAAAUACGACGGGUCGAUGACGGUACCCGCAGAAUAAGCACCGGCUAACUACGUG